AUCCGCUUUCAUGGCGGAAGACGAGGAAUCUUUGAAUAAACCUAUCAUUGCUGACGAGCUAAAACUCGAUAACGUUACCGGAUUGGGCGCCACGUCACCAUCACUGGUUGGUGAGGGCGAUACGGCUUCGCCGGCGCCGGAGGUGGGCCCACCAUCAGUCGAAGAAUCGGAGGUUGCUCUAGACAGUUCACAACAGGCUGGCGUUGGUGAUGCUGACGUGGGUGCAUCGAUGGGGGUGUCAGAGAGUUCUCAGCAGGGUAAUGGUGAUGCUGAGGAAGUUGAGGCGGUUAGGGUGACUGAAAAUGAAGCGGUUACGGAGGAAAAUGUUACGGCUUUGGAGAAAGAUGAGGUG
This 352-nucleotide unclassified non-coding RNA is filed under the name Hevea brasiliensis (rubber tree). Lineage: Eukaryota; Viridiplantae; Streptophyta; Magnoliopsida; Malpighiales; Euphorbiaceae. The record is from RNAcentral.